Molecule: long non-coding RNA, 1399 nt
Organism: Glycine soja
Lineage: Eukaryota; Viridiplantae; Streptophyta; Magnoliopsida; Fabales; Fabaceae
Exons: 6
Source: RefSeq, a predicted model, not a curated record
UUAAGCUCACUUCCCAUGCAGGAAGAGAACGUCAAUAUCAUGCUGCCCUCAUUAGCAGGAUUAACAACUUCAAAACCGCUGCUAGGAAUCUUUUAUAGUUGUAGGCUGGUUGUGAAAUUUGAAGUGUAUAGGAGCCACAACACUGGAUGAAUAUAGGAAGCACAUCGAAAAGGAUCCAGCUCUGGAGAGGCGAUUCCAGCCAGAUGAAACCAUACAAAUACUGAAAGGACUUAGAGAACGCUAUGAAAUUCACCACAAGCUCCGUUAUACAGAUGUGCAGCUGUCACAUUUGAACGUUCUGCUCCCUUUUCGGUUCAUUUUACCUAUUCUAUUCAUUUAUGCUGGAGAUCAGACAAGUUUCUUUUUAUUUUGGAACUCUGAUGUAGUUGUUGUUUUGUUCAUGCUGUGUAUCUUAAAUAUUUUCUAGCUUAAAAUAAUUUGUAUUUCCUGCAGUGAUCGAUUUUUGUCAGACAAAGCUAUAGAUUUAAUUGAUGAAGCAGGCAGGCUCUCGAGUCCGUCUUCAACAGGCACAGGUAUUUGUCUACCUAUCCAGAUCUUUUGUCUAUUAUUGGGCUAAUUUUGCUAGAUUUACAUGCUUCUAGUUACCUGAAGAAACAAUUUCAGGCCAUUGUUGCCACCUCUUAUCCUUGUCCUCCUUGUCACUGUGAUUGCUCUCUUCAACCCCUUCUUACUCUCCCCAAGGAGGUCUCCACCCCUGUCCCAAAGUUCACAAGGGAGUUAUCUACCCAAUCCAGUGACUUCAAUAUACUCUCUUCUUGAACUCUCAGGAUUUGAGCCAUUUUGGGAUCAAGUUAUUAGUCACUUUCUCGAGGUUGAUUGGUUCCAAGACUACAAACUAUCCAAGUCUCUUGAACCAUCACAGGAACUGAGACCUUCUACCAUUUAUCUGGCAAUUCAUAAUGUAUUAAAAGAGGUCUUAAUGUGUGUUACACGAUAUGCAGAUGGAAGUCAAUGUUGAUAACUUCAGGUCUGUUGAAUGUUCUGUCAUAUCUCCACUAAAGGUGCUUUAUUUUUCUACUCAAAGUGUAGAUGUUCGUGUUGGAUCUUUGAAAAUUCUUUUGCAUGUCUUAGAGAGAUAUGGACAGAAACUUCAUUACAGCUGGCCUAAUAUACUUGAAAUGUUGAGGUUGGCCUUAUUAUUCCCUUAAUGUUCAUCUCUAUUGGUAAUCCUUUGGAUAAUCUAUUGUACAAUAUAACAAGUCUAUGUACCUAAUUCCACAAGAAUUAAAUGUGAGAUGAACAAUUUGAAUUUCGAAAUUCAUACACCUGUAUGUAAAACAAAAAAAAUAUCCUUUCUAAGAUGGUUUCUUAAAAAAAUCAUCUUAGAAAGUUUCUAUUUUCUAAGACGAAUCCUUCAAAGAACUGGCUUACAAAUUGG